GAUGAAGAACGUAGCGAAAUGCGAUAAGUAAUGUGAAUUGCAGAAUUCAGUGAAUCAUCGAAUCUUUGAACGCAUCUUGCGCUCCUUGGUAUUCUGAGGAGUAUGCCUGUUUGAGUGUCAUUAAAUUCUCAACUACACUGACUUUGAAUUGGUGUGGCUUGGAUUUGGGGGGAAAAUUGUUGUGGGCUUUUUGUAUAGUCUGCUCCCCUGAAAUUGAUUAGCGGUACCUUUGUGGAACUGUCUACAGGUGUGAUAAUUAUCUACAUCUUAGACAUCUGCUGGAAUGCUGCUCUCUAAACCUUACUUGUAUUGACAAUCUUGACCUCAAAUCAGGUAGGACUACCCGCUGAACUUAAGCAUAUCAAUAAGCGGAGGA
Molecule: unclassified non-coding RNA, 376 nt
Filed under: soil metagenome
Description: partial contains 5.8S ribosomal RNA, internal transcribed spacer 2, and large subunit ribosomal RNA
Rfam family: 5.8S ribosomal RNA (bases 1-120)
Source: RNAcentral